AACUAGCUAACUGAAAUCAUAAAAUCAUUAAUAGUGUUGAUAUGAUAACGUAAGGGGAAAAUUUGAUAUUACCUUACUAUUAGUGUUGUCCAAAACUGGUGCCAGAAGACUCGGUAAGGCCAGAUACGCAAACGUUAAUCGUCCUAAUCAGGCGUAAAGGGUAUGUAGGCUGCUUUGAAAAUUUUAACUAUAAAAGCUCGAGCUAUAUCCUAACUAUACUUAAAGCUAUAGUUGGGAUAUAUUAACUUAUGUCUUAGGCCUAGUUGCUAAAGCAAUAGCUGUACUCUCCUUAUAACAUAUGAAGAUUACACCCUAAAGCUGUAGCUACAGUGCCAUAGGCCUCCCUUCCCUUUUUGUGAAUGGGAGGGUUUUUAUAAAAAUAAUAAAAUUAUUAAAAGCUAGAAUCAUAAGGAGGAUAAACCAAAUAAUACUUAGAGUAGGGUUGAUAUCUGCAGAUACUAAGGGGAAUACUAACGGUGAAAGCUUUUUAUCUAAUAAUGAUUGACGCUGAGAAACGAAGGUGAGAAUAGGAAAUAGGAUUAGAUACCCAGAUACCUCUCACUGUCAACGAUGAAUGGUAGUUGUUAGUCAUAUUAAAACUGAUAACGAUGUUAACACGAUAACCAUUCCGCCUUGCGAGUACGGUUGCAAAACUGAAACCAAAAAAAUUAGUCGGUCUCGAAGCAAACGAAGUGAAGCAUGUUA
This 705-nucleotide ribosomal RNA is filed under the name Rhodocybe mellea. Its description in RNAcentral is "partial small subunit ribosomal RNA". It matches the Rfam family "Bacterial small subunit ribosomal RNA", at positions 408 to 944 of the family's 1533-position model. The record is from RNAcentral. Lineage: Eukaryota; Fungi; Basidiomycota; Agaricomycetes; Agaricales; Entolomataceae.